Anopheles coluzzii is the source of this 739-nucleotide long non-coding RNA. RefSeq lists it as uncharacterized. Lineage: Eukaryota; Metazoa; Arthropoda; Insecta; Diptera; Culicidae. The record is from RefSeq and is a predicted model, not a curated record. The transcript has 3 exons.
CUGUCUAGUUAGAAACGUAAACAAACACGGACAACCGCCCGUAAAGAUUGUGUGCAGAAUAAUCGUGAAAUUUUAUGUGAAAACUCGAGAAAAGGAAAAACAUCAUUUCAUCCCGAAAUUUGGCAACAUUCGUCCGAGUAUGGUUGAGCAGCUGUGUGUGUGUGUAUGCCGACGGAAUACGACGCCGUUUCUACAUCAAUCACUAAAGCCGGCUGUGAUCGUGAUCGGCACAUUCUCAACUGGACCAACACACCGGUCGUUGUGUAUCUUCAAGCAAACCAACGUUGCCAUACACCACAAAAUAGCAUGGAAAGGAAAGUAUUAUAAAAUAAUAUCACAUAUGAAAGCAUUCUAAUUUUUCCUUGUUAUUUUUCCACUGCAAACAGGACAUUGGAUCACCGCAUCGACAAGUGGUUUUUAUGUGCAAGUGUUGUUAAGAAGUGUGUUGUACGGUGUAUUACGUGUUUUACUUUAUUUGUAUCGCUUUGCAAGUGGUACAAUUAGUGCGUUUAAUCGUUGUAAUACAGCUAACAUAAGAUUUACCCGAGCAUUAGAAGCGGCAACAAUACAUGUGCCUGACGCAGAGACAACAACGCCGUCGGCAUCCGUUGAUACCAUCCAAAGUGAUGGUUGAAAUCGUAUUUAAACGUGUAAAACCAUGUAUUGGGGCAUGUAAGUAUUGAAUAAUAGUUAAAUAAAAUACAUUUUAUCGUUGUACUGGACAAUGUGCAUCGAAAUU